Molecule: long non-coding RNA, 272 nt
Organism: Salarias fasciatus (jewelled blenny)
Lineage: Eukaryota; Metazoa; Chordata; Actinopteri; Blenniiformes; Blenniidae
Exons: 3
Source: RefSeq, a predicted model, not a curated record
AGCUCAUGAUGAGAUGCUGGGUGAACUCACCUGAACAGAGACCCUCCUCCAAAGAUUGCACAACUGAGACAGAAAGACUGUACGAGAAAUACAAACAUGGAAUUGAUGAUGCCGUCCAUCGAGUCCUGACCAAACUGAAAGGAAAAGAACCAACAGAGCAGAGACAAAAAGAUCAGUUAUCUACAGGUCUGGUAUUUUAAAAUAUCUUGAAGCUUCAUUUGUUCUGUGUUGUGUCUUAUUUUUUCUUCAAAAUUCCACACGCAACACCCUAU